Molecule: ribosomal RNA, 854 nt
Filed under: uncultured bacterium
Lineage: Bacteria
Description: bacterial SSU rRNA
Rfam family: Bacterial small subunit ribosomal RNA
Source: RNAcentral
GACGAACGCUGGCGGCGCGCUUAACACAUGCAAGUCGUGCGGUGUCGAAGGCAAGUCUUACGACAAGCCUUCGACACAGCGGCGAACGGGUGAGUAACACGUGAGUAGCUGUCCUAAGGAGGGGGAUAACGCCUGGAAACGGGUGCUAACACCCCAUAUGCCUCGCAAGAGGUGAAAGUGUACUUGCUACAGCCUUAGGGUGUGCUCGCGGCCUAUCAGCUAGUUGGUGAGGUAACGGCUCACCAAGGCUAAGACGGGUAGCCGGCCUGAGAGGGUGUACGGCCACACUGGAAUUGAGAUACGGUCCAGACUCCUACGGGAGGCAGCAGUGGGGAAUCUUGGGCAAUGGGCGAAAGCCUGACCCAGCGACGCCGCGUUGGGGAUGAAGCCCUUCGGGGCGUAAACCCAUGUUGUAGGGGACGAAGAAAGUGACGGUACCCUACGAGAAAGCCCCGGCCAACUACGUGCCAGCAGCCGCGGUAAAACGUAGGGGGCGAGCGUUGUCCGGAAUUACUGGGCGUAAAGGGCACGCAGGCGGUACGCCAAGUCGGGGGUGUAAAGUUACGGCUUAACCGUGACCUUGCAAUCGAUACUGGCGUACUGGAGUGCGGGAGAGGGAAGUGGAAUUCCCGGUGUAGCGGUGAAAUGCGUAGAUAUCGGGAGGAACGCCAGUGGCGAAGGCGGCUUCCUGGCCCGCGACUGACGCUCAUGUGCGAAAGCCAGGGGAGCGAACCGGAUUAGAUACCCGGGUAGUCCUGGCCGUAAACGAUGGGUGCUAGGUGUAGGCGCGUCAAGCGUCUGUGCCGCAGUUAACGCGAUAAGCACCUCGCCUGGGGAGUACGGUCGCAAGGCUG